UAGCUUUAAGAAAAUUAUUUAAGGUUUUACCUGCCCAGUGAAAAUUUUAACGGCCGCAGUACUUUGACUGUGCUAAGGUAGCAUAAUAAAUUGGCUUUUAAUUAAAGUCGGGUAUGAAAGGGAUCACGGAAAGUAACUGUCUCAAGUAUAUAUAAUUUUAAUUUAAUCAAUGGGUGAAAAUUCCCAUAGUAAUUUACAUUAGACGAGAAGACCCUAAGAGUUAUAAUUAAGAUGAAUUUAUUUUCAUGUAUCAUUUUUGUUGGGGCAACAUAGACUGGAUUAAACCGUCAUAAAUUAAUUUUACAUAACAGUUAUAUUUAAAAAGAAAUAAACUACCUUAGGGAUAACAGCAUAAUUAAUUUUUAGAUUGUGACCUCGAUGUUGGAUUAAGGACUUUGUUUACUAGCCGUAAACCAAGAUAGUUCUGUUCGAACUGUAAUACCUU
Molecule: ribosomal RNA, 445 nt
Filed under: Vertigo ventricosa
Lineage: Eukaryota; Metazoa; Mollusca; Gastropoda; Stylommatophora; Vertiginidae
Also listed under: 1 other name
Description: partial 16S ribosomal RNA
Rfam family: Archaeal large subunit ribosomal RNA
Source: RNAcentral